CCCUUAGAUGUCCUGGGCCGCACGCGCGCUACGCUGAUGCAUUCAACGAGCCUAUCCUUGACCGACAGGUCCGGGUAAUCUUUGAAUCUGCAUCGUGACGGGGAUAGAUUAUUGCAAUUAUUAAUCUUCAACGAGGAAUGCCUAGUAGGCGCAAGUCAUCAGCUUGCGUCGAUUACGUCCCUGCCCUUUGUACACACCGCCCGUCGCUCCUACCGAUUGGGUGUGCUGGUGAAAUGUUCGGAUCGGCCGUUUGUCGCGGUUUCCGCGUCAUGUGGCUGAGAAGUUCAUUAAACCCUCCCACCUAGAGGAAGGAGAAGUCGUAACA
RNAcentral lists this ribosomal RNA (325 nucleotides) under uncultured eukaryote. Its description in RNAcentral is "partial 18S ribosomal RNA". It matches the Rfam family "Eukaryotic small subunit ribosomal RNA", at positions 1470 to 1796 of the family's 1831-position model. The record is from RNAcentral.